AAGAGACGUUGCCCUUCGGGGUAUGCCUCCCACCCUUUGUUUAUUAUACCUUUGUUGCUUUGGCGGGCCCGUCCUCGGACCACCGGCUUCUGCUGGUCAGUGCCCGCCAGAGGACCUAAAACUCUGUUUGUUAAUAUUGUCUGAGUACUAUAUAAUAGUUA
This 161-nucleotide unclassified non-coding RNA is filed under the name soil metagenome. RNAcentral's name for it is "partial internal transcribed spacer 1". The record is from RNAcentral.